RNAcentral lists this ribosomal RNA (1061 nucleotides) under uncultured Microbacterium sp. RNAcentral describes it as "bacterial SSU rRNA". It matches the Rfam family "Bacterial small subunit ribosomal RNA", at positions 282 to 1352 of the family's 1533-position model. Lineage: Bacteria; Bacillati; Actinomycetota; Actinomycetes; Micrococcales; Microbacteriaceae. The record is from RNAcentral.
AGUAGCCGGCCUGAGAGGGUGACCGGCCACACUGGGACUGAGACACGGCCCAGACUCCUACGGGAGGCAGCAGUGGGGAAUAUUGCACAAUGGACGCAAGCCUGAUGCAGCAACGCCGCGUGAGGAACGACGGCCUUCGGGUUGUGAACCUCUUUUAGCAGGGAAGAAGCCUUCGGGUGACGGUACCUGCAGAAAAAGCGCCGGCUAACUACGUGCCAGCAGCCGCGGUAAUACGUAGGGCGCAAGCGUUAUCCGGAAUUAUUGGGCGUAAAGAGCUCGUAGGCGGUCUGUCGCGUCUGCUGUGAAAACCCGAGGCUCAACCUCGGGCCUGCAGUGGGUACGGGCAGACUAGAGUGCGGUAGGGGAGACUGGAAUUCCUGGUGUAGCGGUGGAAUGCGCAGAUAUCAGGAGGAACACCGAUGGCGAAGGCAGAUCUCUGGGCCGUAACUGACGCUGAGGAGCGAAAGGGUGGGGAGCAAACAGGCUUAGAUACCCUGGUAGUCCACCCCGUAAACGUUGGGAACUAGUUGUGGGGUCCUUUCCACGGAUUCCGUGACGCAGCUAACGCAUUAAGUUCCCCGCCUGGGGAGUACGGCCGCAAGGCUAAAACUCAAAGGAAUUGACGGGGACCCGCACAAGCGGCGGAGCAUGCGGAUUAAUUCGAUGCAACGCGAAGAACCUUACCAAGGCUUGACAUAUACGAGAACGGGCCAGAAAUGGUCAACUCUUUGGACACUCGUAGACAGGUGGUGCAUGGUUGUCGUCAGCUCGUGUCGUGAGAUGUUGGGUUAAGUCCCGCAACGAGCGCAACCCUCGUUCUAUGUUGCCAGCACGUAAUGGUGGGAACUCAUGGGAUACUGCCGGGGUCAACUCGGAGGAAGGUGGGGAUGACGUCAAAUCAUCAUGCCCCUUAUGUCUUGGGCUUCACGCAUGCUACAAUGGCCGGUACAAAGGGCUGCAAUACCGUAAGGUGGAGCGAAUCCCAAAAAGCCGGUCCCAGUUCGGAUUGAGGUCUGCAACUCGACCUCAUGAAGUCGGAGUCGCUAGUAAUCGCAGAUCAG